UGCAAAUUUUCAUCCAAGAUGGCAGCAAGCUCAUUGUCUGCUCAGUGUCUCUCUCUGGACUAAUUCAUUUUAAUGGAUUUUACUGCUUUUUAUUGUUUUAAAAGUUGCAGUUUAGUUUUAGUGUUUGUUUUCUUUUUUGGCGGACUUUAAAUGAGUUUAAUUUAGCCUCUGCUAUAUCUGAUUCUGGGCUAAUAAGCCUGAGCUACAUCUACCUCCGCCUGGAGCCUGAGCUAACAAGCCUGAGCCUGCCACAUCCACUUCCUUGUGGAGCCUGGGCUAACAGGCCUGAGCCUGCCUCAUCCACUUCCAUCUGGAGCCUGGGCAAAUAGGCCUGAGUCUUCCUCAUUCACCUUCAUCUAGAGCCUGGGCUAACAGGCCUGAGUCUGCAACAUCCACUUUCGCCUGGAGCCCGGGCUAACAGGUCUGAGUCUGCUACAUCCAUCCCCAUCUGGAGCCUGGACCAACAGGCCCGAGCCUGCCACAUCCACCUUCUGGAAAAUAGCUACGGUUGUGCCACUCACAAACUGUUUCUGCUGAUAUUUUUCAACAUGAAGAUUAUGGCACUCUUAAUAGUUUUAUUAUGUGUGUUGACCGUUUGGGACUUGGGACUAAGCAGUGCUCCUUGGGUAAAAAAGCUUCAAGCCUGGUCUUGAUUGAUAUCAUGUUUGGAGAUGCCGCCAUCUGACAGCUCUGGCAGGCAGCAGCAGCGGCGGCAGCGGCGGCGGCCUUAUACAACUACGCCAUGUGAGAGCGCCCUCUCAGUCCGUUCAAAGAAGCCACUCCGUGAUGAUGAGGAUGAGCCAUGCCUACCGCGCAACCGUCUGAUGCUUACGUGCCGCGGAUUUGUUUGUGAAUUCUGCUCCCUAUCAUAUACAUCCCGACACAUAUUUCAGCUGUAGCGUGCCCCCCCCCUUCAGCAGAGCAGCGUGAGGUGACCUGCUAACUGGUAAAGUCUUCAGUCCCCACAAUGACAGGUAAUCCAAAUCAUCCCACAUGCUGCACAGCUGGGUUUCCAUACGAGUCUGAAAUGGGUCCAUUUUCCUCUCCUAAAGCUUCCAGCAUUUUAAGAUGAAUACCAAAGUAGACUCCUGCCUCCUGGGACAGCAGCAGAAACUGGCUCAGGUUGAAAAAAACUGAAAAUGUUUACAAAAGUUCAAGCUGUGGAUGUGCAGUAAUAACCUGGCUAUCCUUUGAAAAGGGCAAUCGAACUAUCAUCACAGUUUCAUCACUUAGCGGGGACGAGGCCUCGGUAACGGACUGCGCGGUGGCGAGCUGGAAGAGGCUGCAACAUCUGCACUCGCAAACCUUCCAAGGUCCUCGAGAGGAAAUCCUUGUGCAACGACUCCCCCUCUCUUCGCACUGUGGUUCAGCACUCCACUCCACACAUUAUAACCGAGAAAAACAAAGCAUCCGGUUUGAAUUUUUAUUGUAAAAUUGGAAAAAAAGGAGAAAGAGAGAGAGAAA
Perca flavescens (yellow perch) is the source of this 1464-nucleotide long non-coding RNA. RefSeq lists it as uncharacterized. The record is from RefSeq and is a predicted model, not a curated record. The transcript has 3 exons. NCBI's taxonomy places the organism in Eukaryota, Metazoa, Chordata, Actinopteri, Perciformes, Percidae.